This is a long non-coding RNA of Pseudophryne corroboree (corroboree frog), 527 nucleotides long. RefSeq lists it as uncharacterized. The transcript is spliced from 4 exons. NCBI's taxonomy places the organism in Eukaryota, Metazoa, Chordata, Amphibia, Anura, Myobatrachidae. The record is from RefSeq and is a predicted model, not a curated record.
AGCUGCUGACGUUUCCAGUUACCAUGGAGGAAGACAGGUAGGAGGAGAUCAUUAUAUGUAUUCUGGCAAAGAGACUUGCAGAGUGCUGGGUGACCGGCAAAGAGAUCUGCAAAGUGUCAGUUGAAGACGACGGGAGGGGUCGCAGAGGUAGCAAGGACUGGAGUAUAACAUGCAGGAGAUCAUCAUUUGGCAAAAGUUCUGGCAAAGAGAUUUGCAGAGUGUCGGGUGACCGGCAAAGAGAUCUGCAAAGUGUCAGUUGAAGACGACGGGCGGGGUCGCAGAGGCAGCAAGGACUGGAGGAUAGCAUGCAGGAGUGGGUGAUCCCUGAAUAGCUGCCCUGGGUGGAGAGCUGUGGACACAUGCGCCAAAUGUUGGGACAUAUGCAUUACCUAUUAGGAGAUGCAGUAAAUAUACCAGCUGUCAGGUUUACGGCAGUCAGAAUACUGACACUGGGAUCCCGACACUCUUCAGAAUCCCGACGUUGGAACUCCGAAUGUGCAAGGAUACUGAUGCCUGUAUCCCCACGA